UCGCCCUGACCCCCUGUCUCACGCCACUAACAAAACAAAGAAGGGCUCUGUGAGAAAGGACAUGCACUACAUAUUCUCAGGCUGUUCCCUUCCCGACUGUGUCAUACGCAGGCACAAUGCUUGUGUGGACGUCAGAGUUCCAGUCAGUCAGCAGCACAAAGGACACAGCCUCCUUCACAACAACCGAUGCCAGUGAGUGAUGCUCACAGUGAAUUGUCACUGUUCCCUCAGAACACAGAACUUCUCCCGGCUCUAAAAGCACAUAAACAGGCCUGCGACUGGGAUGCAGACCUACUCAUCAGCAGAGCUGGAGUAGGGCAGAUGGCUGUAAAGGUAACUGGCCACUGGUAACCAAAACUGAGAACUUCUGAACUUUUGUCUCAACAUGAGUUACUCAGCUGGUGUACCCACAAAAUAUUCGAACAUUUGAACUUUGUUUUCUGAACCUCUCAAGUUUUUUUGUACUGUUCCAAACUGUCGCACUCCAGAUCGGCAGAAGAUAUCCAGCGCAGUUCCACUGUUGUUCUUGGCGCAGGGCCAACCUGGCUGGCAACCAGAGGCUGCUCGAGCCACACGAUUCCUCACAGUGUUGACACAACAAUUGCCUCUUCCCCUUCUUUCCCAGCAUGAAAAUCCCAACCCAAGGCCUGGGCAAGCACAUGUGCUCCUUAACCUUAAGCCCUCCUCUAACACAAGAAUAACACAAAUGUGUGUGUGUGUGUGUGUGUCAGAGAGAGAGACUCUUCAACUCUCUAAGGGAGAUUUCUAUGUUCUCACUCAUCGAGAAAAAACAGGUUGAGUCAAUCCACUGUCACGGGUAUUCCCCAAACAUUUAAGUAGUUAUUUCAGUGUUGUAAAAGCAGGUUAUAAAAACAGGGUUUUGCCAGACAGUAAAGUGUGUGUUACAGGGUUAUAUCAUUAGCUAACAGUAUGCUCAUCUUCUGUGCUCAUCUGAUAUAUCCAAAACCACAUCUUCAUGGCCUGGGUCUUCCGGAAAACUGUUGUUGAAUAACCUGAACAUUACUGAAGUUUUGCCAUGAGCCCCAACCUUUAGCCAAUCAGAAGUUCAGAAGAGUUUCAGAGGUCAGGGAUUGGUGCUCAAGGAUGUCAGUUAGACACCAGAACUGAGGAUACUGGGUGGGGAGUGAAGAGAGAGGGACACGAGAAAAGAGAGGUUUCUUUUUUCAAAUCUUUGCCCAGCGCUAGUUUGAUAAGCAGGUUUUGCAUGUUAUGGUUCUAAUCCUGGUGGUGAUAAAACAAGGAUUAAUGUAUAUUUGCUGUGCAGUGCUGCCAACUUUCCAGGCCAUGUCAGAGCGAGAUGGGCUAAAAGCCCAGAGCUCAUGGGUGGAGAGCGCCUCCAAAACAACAACUACAGGCUUUAGGCGAGUCACAGCACUUCAGGGAAAUUGUGUCUCAUUUGGGAGCUGUCAUAUAUGAGGCUAGUGGCACCUAUGUUUGAGUUUGGGAAUGUUUGUCAAGGGACAUGUGGGAGUAUGAGCCAGACCCAGUGAGCCUGAAUAAGAUGGCUGCCCUGAACCAGCGCACACGACUCAUUUGAGCGUUUGUGAGCGAGUGAGUCAGGCAGGAUGUAAGUGCAAUCGCCAUGACCACACAUUGGGAUCACCUCCAACUCAACCGUGAGUCAAAACUUCACUUUGCCCGGGCUUUUUUUCCGUGUAGAUUAUACAACUUACAGACAUGUGGCCCCCUCCCGGUUAGAAUGACAGCAUGUGGAUGAUGACUCAUAAGAGCAGAGUGGGAGGGUUGAGUGAGGAACGGGGCAGGAUCCAAAAUAUCACCCCACUACAGAGAAUGAGGAACUAGGAUGGGGAUGGGGCUACCUGUCAUCCAACAGCAGACUUUCCCACCACCACAGCACUGGAUUCAUGCAGUUCGUGAGAAGGGCCUGUGAGUUUAUUGCAAGGGGAGAAUAUUUUACCAUUAUAGCCCUACAUUUUCCGCACUCACUCUCAGAGACAGUGGUUGUUCUUUGGGCCCGAGCAGCCAGAGGUCACUCUCUUGAGUAUGUCCUUGUACGAAAAUAAAAGAAGUCAAUUCAAAACAUUCAAGUGUCCAGAAAUCUUUCAGCGAACUUGGCUGCCUCUUCCUGCGGAGGACGACGGAUGAAUCCAGCCCCUGUGUUCCUGUUGGGUCUUUGUAGGUCCACUGGCUUCAUUCCAGCCAUAAGCGCAGCAAACCCGUCUGAUUUAAUUAGCCGGACCCUGGCAGGAAGCCUGUCUCAAUGCUCCUUUCUAAUUGGCUCUCUGUUGGUUUUGUUGCCAUCAACAAUAACCCCCUUUCACUGAGGACGGAGGCGUAAUCAGAGUGUGUCCUCUGUUACUCGACAAAUAUCAAUUAGCAGCUAUCUUUGGGCUCUAUCGCCAGUGCAGAUUUAUCUUAACAGUAUGCUUUCCUUCGUCAGAGGUAUUGAUAUCUGAUUUUUAAAUGGCUUUUGUUGAAAGCGAAGGACAAAACUAAGGGCAGGAGUUUAAAAAAAUGUGAACAUGCUGGUCUUUAAAUUACCUGGGUCAAUGAGAGAGAUCAGUGCCAAGCAUUUCUCCUGACAUGUGUACCUUCUGCUUCCAUGGAACCACUGGAUAAUUUUGUUAUUUUGUGAACAUGUACAAAUGUGUCAGUUUGGACAAGUAAUAUGAAAGGCUUUGUUGAGGGAGAAUGUAAUAUAUGAAAAGAUACUGUGUGGACAUUUCAAAAGACCUGGCUUGUUGAGAGUGAAAUAAAAAAGAUUACAAAAGCUCAAAUAGAACUCCAAAGUAGCUUUUAUUCUGAGAGAGUACAACUUAUCAGGCUUUCUGAGAAAAAAAGUUGCCAAAUUUGUCCACAAAUUCUCUUAACACAUGGACCCACCCGGGAAAAUUCUAGUACAGGGAAGUGUCACAAGGCCAUUCCAACAGGCCUAGGAAUCCAUGCAGGAUGUGCCCUAUAUCCAUGGAAACUUAUGACGAAACCAACACAAAAGCCCCUUUUGCCAUCUCUGUGCUUAGCUCUACGCUUAGUUCUAACAGGUACAUUAAGCUGGGCUUUUGAUAAGCUUGGAGUAUUUUCAUUAGUUCAGCACAGUUUGAAGUAAUCAAUUGUGAUGUAAUGUAGCUUCCUCCCCAUCACUUUAACAGUGAGAACUCGUGUAGUGAACACAUUUGACAUGUAGAGAUUUAUGACAUAUGAUACAAUAACCAAGCAAACACUUCAUUGUAAGUAAUAAAAGAGGUCUUAAAAUGAUGUGAAGUCAAGUCAUCUUCCUUAUAUUGGGCUUCCCGGAGCUACAUGAAAAAAAAGCACCAGCCCUUCCCCCAGCAUGACCUCAUAGGCUGCUGUGCGGCUAACAGCUACCGGUCUGAACUAGAUAGUUCCAGCCUCGGCAGCAUCGCGUUUGUUCCCCAGCUGCUUUUGUUCAGACUGAGCCAGCGCGAGCCAGUCAGCCAGGCAGUGUGAGCAGCGAGCCUCCCCCACACGCAACAGCACACGAACCGCAUCUCCACUCAACCCCCCUGCCUGCAACAAAGCCAGGAAAAAGACAUAGAGAAAGAGAAACACAUAACGGGCUCUGAGUCGAUGAAUUUAGGUGUUUUUUCUCAGAGAAGGAAAAAGAAAAACUGUAAAAAAAAAAAAAAGAACAAA
Clupea harengus (Atlantic herring) is the source of this 3636-nucleotide long non-coding RNA. RefSeq lists it as uncharacterized. The record is from RefSeq and is a predicted model, not a curated record. NCBI's taxonomy places the organism in Eukaryota, Metazoa, Chordata, Actinopteri, Clupeiformes, Clupeidae. The transcript is spliced from 2 exons.